This 500-nucleotide ribosomal RNA is filed under the name uncultured bacterium. RNAcentral describes it as "partial 16S ribosomal RNA". It matches the Rfam family "Bacterial small subunit ribosomal RNA", at positions 30 to 523 of the family's 1533-position model. The record is from RNAcentral.
AUUGAACGCUGGCGGCAUGCUUUACACAUGCAAGUCGAACGGUAACAGGGUGCUUGCACCGCUGACGAGUGGCGAACGGGUGAGUAAUGCGUCGGAACGCACCGAGUAAUGGGGGAUAACGCAGCGAAAGCUGUGCUAAUACCGCAUACGCUCCGAGGAGGAAAGCGGGGGACCUUCGGGCCUCGCGUUAUUCGAGCGGCCGACGUCUGAUUAGCUAGUAGGUGAGGUAAGAGCUCACCUAGGCGACGAUCAGUAGCGGGUCUGAGAGGAUGAGCCGCCACACUGGGACUGAGACACGGCCCAGACUCCUACGGGAGGCAGCAGUGGGGAAUUUUGGACAAUGGGCGCAAGCCUGAUCCAGCCAUGCCGCGUGAGUGAAGAAGGCCUUCGGGUUGUAAAGCUCUUUCAGGUGGAAAGAAAAGGUUACGGAUAAUACCUGUAACUGAUGACGGUACCAUCAGAAGAAGCACCGGCUAACUACGUGCCAGCCGCCGCCGUAA